AGUAUGUAGCUUUAAUUAAAAGCCCCUCGCUUACACCGAGACCUUGCCCGAUAACCCCGGGUCAUCCUG
Molecule: transfer RNA, 69 nt
Filed under: Oreolalax sp. CIB-XM092
Lineage: Eukaryota; Metazoa; Chordata; Amphibia; Anura; Megophryidae
Description: tRNA-Val
Source: RNAcentral